AUUGAACGCUGGCGGCAGGCCUAACACAUGCAAGUCGAGCGGAUGAAGGGAGCUUGCUCCUGGAUUCAGCGGCGGACGGGUGGGUAAUGCCUAGGAAUCUGCCUGGUAGUGGGGGAUAACGUCCGGAAACGGGCGCUAAUACCGCAUACGUCCUGAGGGAGAAAGUGGGGGAUCUUCGGACCUCACGCUAUCAGAUGAGCCUAGGUCGGAUUAGCUAGUUGGUGGGGUAAAGGCCUACCAAGGCGACGAUCCGUAACUGGUCUGAGAGGAUGAUCAGUCACACUGGAACUGAGACACGGUCCAGACUCCUACGGGAGGCGGCAGUGGGGAAUAUUGGACAAUGGGCGAAAGCCUGAUCCAGCCAUGCCGCGUGUGUGAAGAAGGUCUUCGGAUUGUAAAGCACUUUAAGUUGGGAGGAAGGGCAGUAAGUUAAUACCUUGCUGUUUUGACGUUACCAACAGAAUAAGCACCGGCUAACUUCGUG
This 484-nucleotide ribosomal RNA is filed under the name uncultured bacterium. RNAcentral's name for it is "partial 16S ribosomal RNA". It matches the Rfam family "Bacterial small subunit ribosomal RNA", at positions 30 to 507 of the family's 1533-position model. The record is from RNAcentral.